AGUGAACGCUGGCGGUAGGCCUAACACAUGCAAGUCGAACGGCAGCACAGUAAGAGCUUGCUCUUACGGGUGGCGAGUGGCGGACGGGUGAGGAAUACAUCGGAAUCUACUUUUUCGUGGGGGAUAACGUAGGGAAACUUACGCUAAUACCGCAUACGACCUACGGGUGAAAGCAGGGGAUCUUCGGACCUUGCGCGAUUGAAUGAGCCGAUGUCGGAUUAGCUAGUUGGCGGGGUAAAGGCCCACCGAGGCGACGAUCCGUAGCUGGUCUGAGAGGAUGAUCAGCCACACUGGAACUGAGACACGGUCCAGACUCCUACGGGAGGCAGCAGUGGGGAAUAUUGGACAAUGGGCGCAAGCCUGAUCCAGCCAUACCGCGUGGGUGAAGAAGGCCUUCGGGUUGUAAAGCCCUUUUGUUGGGAAAGAAAAGCAGCAGGUUAAUACCUCGCUGUUCUGACGGUACCCAAAGAAUAAGCACCGGCUAACUUCGUG
This 492-nucleotide ribosomal RNA is filed under the name uncultured bacterium. RNAcentral describes it as "partial 16S ribosomal RNA". It matches the Rfam family "Bacterial small subunit ribosomal RNA", at positions 29 to 507 of the family's 1533-position model. The record is from RNAcentral.